This 346-nucleotide ribosomal RNA is filed under the name Alteromonas sp. R-26152. Its description in RNAcentral is "bacterial SSU rRNA". It matches the Rfam family "Bacterial small subunit ribosomal RNA", at positions 98 to 452 of the family's 1533-position model. The record is from RNAcentral. Lineage: Bacteria; Pseudomonadati; Pseudomonadota; Gammaproteobacteria; Alteromonadales; Alteromonadaceae.
GCGGACGGGUGAGUAAUGCUUGGGAACUUGCCUUUGCGAGGGGGAUAACAGUUGGAAACGACUGCUNAUACCGCAUAAUGUUUNCGGNCCNAACGGGGCUUUUAGCUCCGGCGCAAAGAGAGGCCCAAGUGAGAUUAGCUAGUUGGUAAGGUAAAGGCUUACCAAGGCGACGAUCUCUAGCUGUUCUGAGAGGAAGAUCAGCCACACUGGGACUGAGACACGGCCCAGACUCCUACGGGAGGCAGCAGUGGGGAAUAUUGCACAAUGGGGGAAACCCUGAUGCAGCCAUGCCGCGUGUGUGAAGAAGGCCUUCGGGUUGUAAAGCACUUUCAGUUGUGAGGAAAAG